This 484-nucleotide ribosomal RNA is filed under the name uncultured bacterium. RNAcentral describes it as "partial 16S ribosomal RNA". It matches the Rfam family "Bacterial small subunit ribosomal RNA", at positions 30 to 507 of the family's 1533-position model. The record is from RNAcentral.
AUUGAACGCUGGCGGCAGGCCUAACACAUGCAAGUCGAGCGGAUGAAGGGAGCUUGCUCCUGGAUUCAGCGGCGGACGGGUGAGUAAUGCCUAGGAAUCUGCCUGGUAGUGGGGGAUAACGUCCGGAAACGGGCGCUAAUACCGCAUACGUCCUGAGGGAGAAAGUGGGGGAUCUUCGGACCUCACGCUAUCAGAUGAGCCUAGGUCGGAUUAGCUAGUUGGUGGGGUAAAGGCCUACCAAGGCGACGAUCCGUAACUGGUCUGAGAGGAUGAUCAGUCACACUGGAAGUGAGACACGGUCCAGACUCCUACGGGAGGCAGCAGUGGGGAAUAUUGGACAAUGGGCGAAAGCCUGAUACAGCCAUGCCGCGUGUGUGAAGAAGGUCUUCGGAUUGUAAAGCACUUUAAGUUGGGAGGAAGGGCAGUAAGUUAAUACCUUGCUGUUUUGACGUUACCAACAGAAUAAGCACCGGCUAACUUCGUG